CAGACGUGAAGUCAGAGGCUGCUCACAGUCAGUGUCAGUGUUUUUCCUCUCAGACUGAAGAUGAGUGGUUAUGAGGAGGAAGAGGAGGACAGAGCAGAGUCUCCAGGGUUCAGCUGUGUGUCUCUGAAGAGUGACCGGUCCAUGGGACCUCCUCCAAACUUCAGUACUGAACCUGGACCCUCACACACAGAAGAGAGGAAGAGGAGUCAUGUUUCUGAGGAGGAGCAGUCGUCCUGCUGUGCUUCGU
Hippoglossus stenolepis (Pacific halibut) is the source of this 247-nucleotide long non-coding RNA. RefSeq lists it as uncharacterized. The record is from RefSeq and is a predicted model, not a curated record. The transcript is spliced from 3 exons. NCBI's taxonomy places the organism in Eukaryota, Metazoa, Chordata, Actinopteri, Pleuronectiformes, Pleuronectidae.